GAUGAACGCUAGCGGGAGGCUUAACACAUGCAAGUCGAGGGGCAGCAUAGGGUAGCAAUACUCUGAUGGCGACCGGCAAACGGGUGAGUAACGCGUAUGCAACCUACCCUGUACAGGGGGAUAACCCGGAGAAAUUCGGACUAAUAUCCCGUAAUAAUAUCCGGAGGCAUCUUUGGAUAUUUAAAGUUUCGACGGUACGGGAUGGGCAUGCGUAACAUUAGCUGGUUGGUAAGGUAACGGCUUACCAAGGCUAUGAUGUUUAGGGGUCCUGAGAGGGUGGUCCCCCACACUGGUACUGAGACACGGACCAGACUCCUACGGGAGGCAGCAGUGAGGAAUAUUGGUCAAUGGGCGCAAGCCUGAACCAGCCAUCCCGCGUGCAGGAAGACGGCCCUAUGGGUUGUAAACUGCUUUUCCAGGGAGAGAAACUUACGCACGUGUUGCGUGACUGACGGUACCCUGGGAAUAAGCAUCGGCUAACUCCGUGCCAGCAGCCGCGGUAAACA
RNAcentral lists this ribosomal RNA (506 nucleotides) under uncultured bacterium. RNAcentral describes it as "bacterial SSU rRNA". It matches the Rfam family "Bacterial small subunit ribosomal RNA", at positions 28 to 525 of the family's 1533-position model. The record is from RNAcentral.